RNAcentral lists this ribosomal RNA (450 nucleotides) under uncultured bacterium. RNAcentral's name for it is "partial 16S ribosomal RNA". It matches the Rfam family "Bacterial small subunit ribosomal RNA", at positions 354 to 796 of the family's 1533-position model. The record is from RNAcentral.
GUGGGGAAUAUUGGACAAUGGGCGAAAGCCUGAUCCAGCCAUGCCGCGUGUGUGAAGAAGGUCUUCGGAUUGUAAAGCACUUUAAGUUGGGAGGAAGGGCAGUAAGUUAAUACCUUGCUGUUUUGACGUUACCGACAGAAUAAGCACCGGCUAACUUCGUGCCAGCAGCCGCGGUAAUACGAAGGGUGCAAGCGUUAAUCGGAAUUACUGGGCGUAAAGCGCGCGUAGGUGGUUUUGUAAGUUGGAGGUGAAAUCCCCGGGCUCAACCUGGGAACUACCUCCAAAACUGGAUGACUAGAGUACGGUAGAGGGUAGUGGAAUUUCCUGUGUAGCGGUGAAAUGCGUAGAUAUAGGAAGGAACACCAGUGGCGAAGGCGACUACCUGGACUGAUACUGACACUGAGGUGCGAAAGCGUGGGGAGCAAACAGGAUUAGAAACCCCAGUAGUCC